Rattus norvegicus (Norway rat) is the source of this 844-nucleotide long non-coding RNA. Ensembl lists it as uncharacterized. NCBI's taxonomy places the organism in Eukaryota, Metazoa, Chordata, Mammalia, Rodentia, Muridae. The record is from Ensembl.
GACCGGGGGAUUCACCACGCUGCACCUGGGACAACCACUGUGGACCCAGGCAGACCCCUCGAAAGUGACCUCACAGGAGACUGCGGAGAAAUGAUCUGCCCAUUCCUAUAAUUGGAAGAUGGAGUCAGGAAGCUUAGAAUUUCAAGGCCAGCCUCAGCUAAACGGGGAGUUCAAGAGCAUGUAGUUCUAUACAAACAACACCCUGUCUCAAAAAAAAAAAAAAAUUAAAACCAAAACCAAACCAAAAGAAAACCCAAAGCAUUUGGGAGAAAGAGGCACAAUCAGGUGGAUCUCUAUGACCAGGGUGGUCUACAUGUUGAGUCUCAGGCCAGCCAGGACUACACGGUGAGAUCCUUUCUCAAAGAGCCAACAAGCAAGCAGAUGCGGACAUCUUCUGAAAGACUCAGAUACAAUCUCCCAGCAGUGAAUGCUGUGUUUGGGUCCCUGGUCUUGGAGGUGCACAGGUGGUUCCAUGCUCUUGGACUUAACAGUUUGAUGCUCCCUCCGGGCUGGGAAUGCCCCAUACAAUGCCUAACUGGAAAGAGCAAGUCUCAAACAUUCAGCAUUUAGAAACCACCUGGAGGCACUUUGGGCCAUGGAGCCAGCCACGCUAGCUCCAAAUGCUUGGAUUCAAAGGACAGAAACAAAGAGUAAACAGUAUCCAGCCCUUUUCAAACAACAGUCCAGCUGCUUCCUUCCUUCCUUCCUUUCCCUCUUCUUUUUCCUUUUCCUUUUCCUUUUUCUGAGACAGGCUCUGACUAUGUCACCCUAGCUGGGCUUGAACUCAGGGAGAUCUAUCUGCCUCUACCUCCUAUAUACUAGUAUUGAAAGUGUGUACCACCAC